This 356-nucleotide ribosomal RNA is filed under the name uncultured soil bacterium. RNAcentral describes it as "bacterial SSU rRNA". It matches the Rfam family "Bacterial small subunit ribosomal RNA", at positions 26 to 385 of the family's 1533-position model. The record is from RNAcentral.
AGAUUGAACGCUGGCGGCAGGCCUAACACAUGCAAGUCGAGCGGUAGAGAGGUGCUUGCAUCUCUUGAGAGCGGCGGACGGGUGAGUAAUGCCUAGGAAUCUGCCUAGUGGUGGGGGAUAACGUUCGGAAACGGACGCUAAUACCGCAUACGUCCUACGGGAGAAAGCGGGGGACCUUCGGGCCUCGCGCCAUUAGAUGAGCCUAGGUCGGAUUAGCUAGUUGGUGAGGUAAUGGCUCACCAAGGCGACGAUCCGUAACUGGUCUGAGAGGAUGAUCAGUCACACUGGAACUGAGACACGGUCCAGACUCCUACGGGAGCAGCAGUGGGAAUAUUGGACAAGUGGGACAAAGCCUG